Molecule: ribosomal RNA, 477 nt
Filed under: uncultured bacterium
Lineage: Bacteria
Description: partial 16S ribosomal RNA
Rfam family: Bacterial small subunit ribosomal RNA
Source: RNAcentral
AUUGAACGCUGGCGGCAUGCCUUACACAUGCAAGUCGAACGGUAACAGGUUAAGCUGACGAGUGGCGAACGGGUGAGUAAUACAUCGGAACGUGCCCAGUAGUGGGGGAUAGCCCGGCGAAAGCCGGAUUAAUACCGCAUACGACCUAAGGGUGAAAGGGGGGGAUCGCAAGACCUCUCGCUAUUGGAGCGGCCGAUGUCAGAUUAGCUAGUUGGUGGGGUAAAAGCUCACCAAGGCGACGAUCUGUAGCUGGUCUGAGAGGACGACCAGCCACACUGGGACUGAGACACGGCCCAGACUCCUACGGGAGGCAGCAGCGGGGAAUUUUGGACAAUGGGCGCAAGCCUGAUCCAGCCAUGCCGCGUGCGGGAAGAAGGCCUUCGGGUUGUAAACCGCUUUUGUCAGGGAAGAAAUCCUUUGGGUUAAUACCUCGGGGGGAUGACGGUACCUGAAGAAUAAGCACCGGCUAACUACGUG